ACAAGAUAUCUAGGGCGCACGGCGGAUGCCUUGGCACAGGAAGUCGACGAAGGACGCGGCAAGCUGCGAUAAGCUGCGGGGAGGGGCAAACACCCUUUGAUCCGCAGGUCUCCGAAUGGGGGAACCCACCUGGGGUCAUGCCCAGGUAUCCCAUCCUGAAUAAAAUAGGGAUGAGGAGGGCAACCGGGGGAACUGAAACAUCUAAGUACCCCGAGGAAGAGAAAUCAACCGAGAUUGCGCGAGUAGCGGCGAGCGAAAGCGCACCAGCCCAAACCCGGGCGCGUGUAAGCGGCAGGCGUUGCCGCCCGGGGGUUGCGGGACACCCGUCCAGGUGCUGCCCACCUGGGAGUGGUCACAAAUCCGUCAGGUAGCGGAACGGCAUGGAAGGGCCGGCCGCAGCGGGUGAGAGCCCCGUACGCGAAACCUGACGGACCACUGCGGUGCAUCCCGAGUAGGGCCGGGCACGUGAAACCCGGUCCGAAGCCGGGGGGACCACCCUCCAAGGCUGAACACUCUCCUGUGACCGAUAGCGAACCAGUACCGUGAGGGAAAGGUGAAAAGCACCCCGAGAGGGGAGUGAAACAGUACCUGAAACCGUGCGCCCACAAGCAGUCGGAGCAACCUUGCGUUGUGACGGCGUGCCUUUUGUAGAAUGAGCCAGCGAGUUGCGGUGUGCGGCGAGGUUAAGUUUGGAAACGAGCCGCAGCGAAAGCGAGCCUUUAAGAUGGCGAGUGAGUCGCACGCUGCAGACGCGAAGCCGGGUGAGCUAUCCUGGGGCAGGCUGAAGCGGGGGUAAGACCCCGUGGAGGGCCGAACCCACUUCGGUUGAAAACGGAGGGGAUGACCCGUGGAUAGGGGUGAAAGGCCAAUCAAACCCGGAGAUAUCUCGUUCUCCCCGAAAUAGCUUUAGGGCUAGCCUCGGCCGUUAACCCGCGGUGGUAGAGCCACCGGAUCGACGAGGGGGCUUCACCGCCUACCGACUCGAACCGAACUCCGAAUGCCGCGGGUCGAGAGGCCGGGAGUCAGAGGGCGUGGGCUAAGCUGCGCGCUCGAGAGGGAAACAGCCCAGACCGCCCGCUAAGGUCCCCAAGUCAUCGCUGAGUGGCAAAGGAUGUGCGUCUGCCCAGACAACCAGGAUGUUGGCUUAGAAGCAGCCAUGCAUUUAAAGAGUGCGUAACAGCUCACUGGUCGAGUGGACAUGCGCCGACAAUUCACGGGGCUAAGCGAUGCACCGAAGCGGCGGACUGAUCUUUCAGUGGUAGGGGAGCUUUCCGCGACCGGCGAAGCCGCAGGGCGACCUGCGGUGGAGGGCGCGGAAGUGAGAAUGCUGGCAUGAGUAACGAGACCAGGGCGAGAAACCCUGGCGCCGUGAGCCUAAGGGUUCCUGGGCGAGGCUAAUCCCCCCAGGGUCAGUCGGGAGCUAAGGCGAGGCCGCGAGGCGUAGCCGAUGCGCAGCGGGCAGACAUUCCCGCACCGCCGACGGCGCGGCAUUACCGAUGGGGCGACGGAGAAGGGUAGCCGGGCGGGGUUCUGGACGUCCCCGUGAAAGCGCGUAGGGCGCAGGGCAUGGAAAUCAGCCCUGCACGAGGCCUGAGACGCGAGACGAAGCGACCGAGCGAAGCCGGUGAGCCCAUGCUUCCGAGAAAAACCUCUAGGGAGUGCCGUCGGCGCCCGUACCAAAACCGACACAGGUGGGCGGGUAGAACAUACCGAGGCGAUCGGGAGAACCAUGGUUAAGGAACUCGGCAUACUGGCCCCGUAACUUCGGGAGAAGGGGCGCCCCCGCCGGUGAAGGCACUUGCUGCCGGAGCUAGUGGGGGCCGCAGCGAAACGGCCCAAGCGACUGUUUAUCAAAAACACAGGACUCUGCAAAGCCGCAAGGCGACGUAUAGGGUCUGACGCCUGCCCGGUGCCGGAAGGUUACGCGGAUGCGUCAGCCGAAAGGCGAAGCGCUGAAGCCAAGCCCCGGUAAACGGCGGCCGUAACUAUAACGGUCCUAAGGUAGCGAAAUUCCUUGUCAGGU
RNAcentral lists this ribosomal RNA (2023 nucleotides) under human gut metagenome. RNAcentral describes it as "bacterial LSU rRNA". It matches the Rfam family "Bacterial large subunit ribosomal RNA", at positions 1 to 1977 of the family's 2925-position model. The record is from RNAcentral.